UUCGUUGUCUGUUCGACCUUG
Molecule: microRNA, 21 nt
Filed under: Picea abies (Norway spruce)
Lineage: Eukaryota; Viridiplantae; Streptophyta; Pinopsida; Pinales; Pinaceae
Also listed under: 2 other names
Description: pab-miR858b
Gene: pab-miR858b
Source: miRBase by way of RNAcentral